UGCAAGUCGAGUGCGCGUGCCGUAGCAAUACGGUAUGGCGCACGGCGCACGGGUGCGUAACACGUGGGCAAUCUGCCCUCCGGUGGGGAAUAACCCCGCGAAAGCGGGGCUAAUUCCGCAUAACAUUCCCUGGACUCUGGUUCGGGGAUUCAAAGCAGCAAUGCGCCGGAGGAGGAGCCCGCGCCCGAUUAGCUAGUUGGUGAGGUGACGGCUCACCAAGGCAAUGAUCGGUAGCUGGUCUGAGAGGAUGGCCAGCCACACUGGAACUGAGACACGGUCCAGACUCCUACGGGAGGCAGCAGUGGGGAAUCUUGCGCAAUGGGCGAAAGCCUGACGCAGCGACGCCGCGUGGGGGAUGAAGCUUCUCGGAGUGUAAACCCCUUUCGACCGGGACGAAUGCCCGCAAGGGAGUGACGGUACCGGUAGAAGAAGCCCCGGCUAACUACGUGCCAGCAGCCGCGGUAAGACGUAGGGGGCCAGCGUUGUUCGGAAUUACUGGGUGUAAAGGGUUCGUAGGCGGUGUGGCAAGUCGGGAGUGAAAUUUCUGGGCUUAACUCAGAAGCUGCUUCCGAAACUGCUGUGCUAGAGUGCGGGAGAGGCGCGUGGAAUUGCAGGUGUAGCGGUGAAAUGCGUAGAUAUCUGCAGGAACACCCGUGGCGAAAGCGGCGCGCUGGACCGUUACUGACGCUGAGGAACGAAAGCUAGGGGAGCAAACAGGAUUAGAUACCCUGGUAGUCCUAGCCCUAAACGAUCAGGACUUGGGGUGCCUUCCGUUCGGAAGUCGUCCCGGAGCU
This 794-nucleotide ribosomal RNA is filed under the name uncultured Bacillota bacterium. RNAcentral's name for it is "bacterial SSU rRNA". It matches the Rfam family "Bacterial small subunit ribosomal RNA", at positions 56 to 853 of the family's 1533-position model. Lineage: Bacteria; Bacillati; Bacillota. The record is from RNAcentral.